CUGCCCGCGGGGAGCGCAGCGCUGAGCCGCGCGCGGCCUCCGGAGCCUCCCAGUCGCCCGGCCCGAGGCUCCCCCUCGCCCUUAGCCCUGGCGUGCUAGAGAGCUGGGCUGGAGGCGAAAGCUUCUAAUACCACCCAGGUGUCGAGUCUAAUUUCUCUCAUCUAGGGAGCUAGGAAACGUUAGCCAGCAGUCCGGAGGCCCAGGGACUGUAGCGAGCGCCUCCUAAUCUCUCUAGGCUGCUGAAUAAGGCAGCUGGGGGCGGGGAGGGGGAGGGAAGGAGGAGGGGAGGGGUGGAGAGGAGAGGGGAGGGGAUGGCGCGAAGAACCGCUUGGGAGGAGGGCUGGGAGAGGCAGCUGCUUUCACUACCUAGCUGGGUGAGAGAGAGAGGUGAAGGAACAAGUGCGUUGAUUGUUUUUGCAGCAUGCAGACGGUGUUUAUUCCAAUUGUUAUACUCGCAAUGCUGAUGCUAUUUGCAAUUCUGUAAAGCUCUGCCACAUCUUAACUCAGCCGUCUGCUAGAGUUAAUGUUACCUUUCUCCUGUAGUUUUUAACCUGGGAUCUAGAGCUCUUACACAGCUUUUACGGUUUGCACAAUGAAAUUUAUUUCAUCUGUUGUUGGCGUUGAUCUUGUUUUUCCUUUGGCAUUGAGUGUACAGCUUUCAUAAACCUUUACAUGUAGGGACAAUGGAAAUGCCUCUAAACUUUGUAUCUGUGCUUGCAACUGUCUUCUAUACAACGUUUUGGCAAGUUAGAGUCCUCUCUUGGAACUGCUGUUGGCAUUUGCGAUUUCAGUAUCAAAACAGACAUUUCAUAUAUCCAUGUUGGUCUAGGAGUAUUAUUAUAGCUAUUUGCUGACUUCUGCAGGGAACCAGGUUCGUAGAAUUGUUUACAGAGAUAAUUUAUAAUUGACCUCUUCAGUGGUUGGUUCUACACUGGCAAUUUUAAUACUGGACAACUGAGGACUCCAGAGGAAAUAUUCAUAUGAGGUUGUUUGAACAGUAAUGAAAUCAAAUUGAAUUUCAAUGCCCUGCUUUGCAAACAAAUGCUUGUUUAUUUUAAUUGUGUAAUGUCUCUCCUUGGGCUAUCAUUUUCUAUUUUUAUUGUCCCAAAGUAGGAUGAAAUAUUGUCCACAGUUGCUCAAAUGUCCUGGGUUGAAAGUAAAUUCUACCCAUUAAAGCUCUGAAGAUACUGUUGGGACGUUCUCUUAGACCAUUUUAAAUAAAGCUAAAAUGAUCCCCAAGGGACUGAUGGUUUCAAGACUUUUUUUUUUUUUUUUUUUUUUUGAGACGGAGUCUUGCUCUUAUCGCCCAGGCUGGAGUGCAGGUGCAGUCUUGGUUCACUGCAACCUCCGUCUCCUGGAUUCAAGCGAUUUUCCUGUCUCAGCCUCCCGAGUAGCUGGGAUUACAGAUGCCUGCCACCAUGUCCAGCUAAUUUUUGUACGUUUAGUAGAGACUGGGUUUCACCAUGUUUGCAGGCUGGUCUUGAACUCCUGACCUCAGGUGAUCUGCCCACCUCAGCCUCCCAAAGUGCUGGGAUUACAAGUGUGAGCCACGGCGCCCAGCCAGGACUUUUUUUUUUUUUUUAUUAUUGAUGUUGCACGUGAUUAUUCGAUUUACAUUUUUUCAAAUCUGUGAUAUAUCAAAGUGUAAUCCAUUUUUUGACUGGAUGUAAUCUCCUUUAAAUCUUAAAAAGAUUCAUGUUCUCUGAACGAUGCCACCAUAAUCGUGUUUACAUAUAGUGAGCAUGUAAACAAUUGAAAUGAAAACAAACACAUUCCAAAUGAGUGUGAAGGAGCCUCACUCAGGAAAAUGAAAGAAAUAUAAAAUACAUGUGUUUUCAUUUUUCAUAGGGAUUAUUAUUUUAAGAGUUGGAAUUGGUUUUUGAAAUAUGUUACAUUGUAGAAUACAUUCAACGUUUAUUUUCUGAGCCUUGCUAUGUGCUAAGCACUGUGGGGGAACACAGUAGUGAAUGAAAUCCUUGUGGCCUCUAGGGGAUUGUCAGUGGGGGCAAAUUACUAUAACACAGAGCAGAGCAACCUACGGUGAGUCCUGAAUUUUAAAGAAUCGUCUUUUUCACGAAAUCAGACUUUUUAAAUAGGUUGAGAGAAGAAUAAUGGAUUGAUUUAAUAACCUAUUGUGAUGGGAAAGUGUUUCAUUAGAAUAUUGUUAUCUCUCAUGUGCUAUUGCCAGGAGUUGAUCCUUAAACUUGAUAAAAGUGACAUUGUAUGAAGAGGUUGCAGGGAUCCCUUUUCGCCUCUCCUUAUCCACCAUUUACUCCUAUAUUUUCUUAGAGGGAUGUUGUGGCUUUGUCGUAAAAGUACAGGGUAUCCUAUGAUGAUUUUGAUGCAUAUUUUCAAUUGAGAAUGAUUUCUUUGGUUUGAAUGAAGGAAUGGACUCUGAGAGUAGGAUUUAUUUAGUGGUACAAUUGUAUCUGUCUUGCCUAAUUAUAGUUCUUUCUUCUAAGAUCCUCAAAGUGUGGCCUGUGCAGUAUAAAUGUAUCCAUUUGUUUAGUAUAUCUAAUUAAGUUCAUGGAUCAUUUCUAAAGCAGUGGUAAUCUGCCCAUUUAUUCAACUGAUUGUACGGUGACAUGCUGGAUUGGAUCAGUGGUUUAUGGGGCUUUUGCUCUGACAGAAAUGUUAAUGAAUGGAAAAAAAUGUUGAUAUCUCUCUAGAGAAUUUAAAGCUUAAUCUUAAUAAUACCUUAUACUUGUAAGACUGUUUAUAAUAGAACACUUGGAGAAUUCUCUUAUUUCAUUUCCCCAGAAUUUUAUUAAAUAGGUAGGGAAAGCAGAAUGUAUCUAUGCUUGGAGACUUGGGAUCAAACCUCUGCAUUAUUGUUACUUGUUGAAAAACCUAGUAACCUUUUUCUUUUCUUCUCUCUCUCUCUCUCUCUCUCUCUCUGUCACCAAGGCUGGAGUACAGUGGUGCAAUUUCAGCUCACUGCAACCUCCACCUCCUAAGUUCAGACAGUUCUCAUGUUUCAGCUUCCCAAGUAGCUAGGAUUACAGGCAUGUGCCACCACACCUGGCUAAUUUUUAUAUUUUUAGUAGAGAUGGGCUCUUGCCAUGUUAGCCAGGCUGGUCUCAAACUCCUGGUCUCAAGUGAUCUGCCUGCCUUGGCCUCCCAAGGUACAGUGAUUACAGGCAUGAACCACCAUGCCUGCCUCUAGUAACAUUUUAAAGUCUGUUCUUAUUUGUUUCUUUGUUUGAGACAGGGUCCUGCUCUGUUACCCAGGCUGGAGUGCAGUGGUGUGAUCAUGGCUCACUGCAGUCUGGUCCUCCUGAGCUCAAACGACCCUCCAGCCUUACCCUCCUGAGUAGCUGGGACUACAGUCAUGAACCACCAUGCCUGGCUAAUUUUUUUUUUCUUUGUAGAGAUGGGUUUUUGCCAUGUUGCCCAGGCUGGUCUCGAACUCCUGGGCUCAAGUUAUCCACCCACCUUGUCCUCCCAAAGUGCUGGGAUUACAGGCAUGAGCCAUCAUGCCUGACCUGUUCCCAUUUAUAAAGGGGAAUGAUAAUAGCUGUUCUUACCAGAGAGCUUUAAUUGAGGCUAAAAGCAAUAUAAAAAUACAUUUGCAGUCUUUCUUUACUUUGUAUCUUGACCUUUCAAUUCAUCAUAUGAAGAAACUUAUUAUCAGAGGUGGUAGGAGACCUGUCAAAGGUGGAAUAGAUAGUGACAGACAGACUUAGGUCCUCUUCUGACUCAAAGGUUUGAGUUUUUCCCCACUGAACUAAACUUUUGGGUAGGCACAAUAUCAACUGAUUGUUGAAAUGGAAACAAUUUUAUCUACUUUGAUUUCCCUCUCUGUUUUUAGAUAAAGGAGGGACAGAUGUUCAGAGGAAUGUAAUGGCUUUCUAAGUCAACAGCCUCCCAAGUGGUAGAUAACAGCAGUCUCGUAGCCAGAUGCGUCUUCCAGAGCUCUCUGCCUUCCCUGGCUCACUUUCUCGUCAUUCAAAUUAUUCUCUAGAAAAACGUCAUUUAAAGGUCAUCCUAUCAUAUCUCAAAGGCACUGCACUACCCCAGUUCAUUAGCUGAAACCCCCUAUUUCUCUUGGGUGCACCCCACUUUUCAGGGAAAGUAGAACCCACAAAAGUAGAACUUCCAAUAUUGAGCUGCUAAAGUGUUCCAGUAUUGGGCUUAAUUUACCAAGUUCAUAAUGACAAGCUGAAAAAGAGUAGUCCAAUUAAAAUCUGGAAACAGAUAUUAAUACAUUUUAAAGAAUAAGGAUAAUGAACAAUGCUAAAAUAACAUGUAGUGUGAAUCUGGUUGUAAAUAAAAAUUACCUUUAACAAAUUAUAUUCUAGUUAGUGUUUAUAUGCCAGGUUUCAACAUUGUAAGAUAUGUAUUUAUAUAACUGUAUACUUCAUGGAAGUACAGUAAACAUAUAUGUACUAAUAAUCCUUUCUUAAGAAUACCUGCCUGUUUAAAGGUCUUGUAGGUUGGAGGCAAAGUUGAUUUAUGUAACUUAUUAUUUAUUUAUUUGUAUUUUUUUGAGACAGAGUCUCACUCUGUCACCCAGCUGGAGUGCAGAGGCGUGAUCUCGGCCCACUGCAACCUCCGCCUCCCGGGUUCAAGUUAUUCUCCUACCUCAGCCUCCCGAGUAACUGGGAUUAGAGGCGCCCACCACCAUGGCGCCUGACUAAUUUUUGUAUUUUUAGUAGAGACGGGGUUUCACCAUGUUGGCCAGGUUGGUCUUGAACUCCUUACCUCAGGUGAUCUGCCCACCUUGGCCUCCCAAAGUUCUGGGAUUACGAGUGUGAGCCACCAGGCCCGGUCAAUUUAUAUAACAUAUUUAAUGUGUGAUUAUAGUUUGGCUAUUACUGGAUAAUCAUUUAAGGAUGCACAAGUUACUGGAUAACAGAACAAGAUAUGUCAAUCUAAGUUUCAAAUUUCAAAUGCUUGGAGACUGCCAGAAUUCAUAGAUUUGGAAGGGAAAUCCCUGGAACCAAAUCUCAGAAAGUUGGCCAGGUAGCCAAUGGUGGACGUUUUCUGUGAUGGACUUUUUGCCAUUGGAGCAGUAUCUUUGAACUGUUCUCAUCAGUACAGAGUUAUUUUUAUUUGGGCAAAAUCAGCCUUUUUGGUUCUCUAGAAACAAAUUAAAUUCAAUCCUUUUUUUUUUCUUUUUGGAGACGGAGUCUUGCUCUGUUGCCCAGGCUUGAGUGCAGUGGCAUGAUCUUGGCUCACUGUAAUUUCUGCCUCCCAGGUUCAGGCAAUUCUCCUACCUCAGCCUCUGGAGUAGCUGAGAUUACAGGCACAUGCCACUAUGCCCAGCUUAUUUUUGUAUUUUAGUAGAGAUGGGGUUUCACCAGGUUGUCCAGGCUGGUCUGGAAUUCCCAACCUAAGGUGAUCGGUCUGCCUUGGCCUCCCAAAGUGCUGGGAUUGCAGGUGUUAGCCACUGUGCCCAGCCUCCAAUCCUCCUUUCACAUGGUGGUCUUUAGAUAACUGAUUUUUGAGAACAGACACUGAUUCUCCUCUUAAUCUAGUUUUCCUCUAUUCUAGGCCAAUCAAGCCUAAGUUCCACACUCUUUUCUCUAUAUAAAAUGAUUUCCAUAUCAUUAUCCUAAGCUUUGAGAAUAAUGGUUUUUUCUUAAUUUUUAUUUUGCGCCACAGGGGUUUUCACCAAUUUUUAUUAUAAAAGGUUAAAAAAGACUUAAAGGCCGGGGAGGGUAGAUCACAGCUAUAAUCCCAGCACUUUGGGAGGCCAAGGCAGGUGUUCUGAGGUUAAGCGAUCGAGACUAUCCUGGUCAACAUGGUGAAACCCUGUCUCUAAUAAAAAUAUAAAAAUGAGCUGAGUGUGGUGGUGCGCCUGUAGUCCCAGCUACUCAGGAGGCUGAGGCCGGAGAAUCGCUUGAACUCGGGAGGCAGAGGUUGCAGUGAGCCAAGAUUGCACCACUGCACUCCAGCCUGGUGACAGAGCGAGACUCCAUCACACACACACACACACACACACACACACACACACAGACACACACACACACACACACACACACAAAGGGUUAAAGAUUACAGAAAGGAAUAAAAUGAAAAAAGUAAAGUAUUCUCUCCUCUCCCUGAUUCUUUAGGUCCUUGCCUCAGCGAUAAUGCCUAAAAGUUUCUGGAAAGAUUUUCAACAUACAACAUAAGUAUGUGUAAAUAUAUAUGCUAUAUACAUAUAUGUAUAUGUAUACCAUUAGAAUUAUAAUAAAAUACAGAUUCAAAGCUUAACCACAUACAUAUCUGUACAUUGUUCAAUAAUGCUUAAUGACAAAAAUAGCUACAAUUUAAUGAUUAUAAUUCAGGCAUUAUGCUAAACACUGUGCAUAUGGUAUCAUAUUUAACCCUUGUAAGAAUCCUGUAAGAUAAGUGAUAGUAAGCGUCCUCUUAUAGUUGAAUAAACCAAGGCACAGAGAGGUUAAGCAAGUUGCAUGAGGUUACACAGGCUCUACUUAUUCUUUUCUUUUUUUUUUUUUGAGACGGAGUCUCUCUCUGUCACCCAGGCUGGUGCAACUCUCUGUCGUCUCGGCUCACAGCAUCUCUCUCUGUCAUCUCGGCUCACGCCAACCUCUGCCUCUCGGGUUCAAGUGAUUCUUCUGCCUCAGCCUCCCAAGUAGCUGGGACUUACAGGCAUGCACCACCACACCCAGCUAAUUUUUUGUGUUUUAGUAGAGAUGGGGUUUCACCAUGUUGACCAGGAUGGUCUUAUCUCUUGACCUCGUGAUUUGCCCGCCUCAGCCUCCCAAAGUGCUGGGAUUACAGGUGUGAGCCAUCGCGCCUGGCCCAGGCUCUACUUAUUCUAUAUUGUGUAAAAUGUGAUAGAGAAAUGCCCAUAAGUUUGCAAAUGAAGAAUUUAGUGGUGAAUUUUUUAAUUUGCUUCUUUCUCUGAGGCAAGGAAAAUUAGGAGUGACUGAGAGAAUCAAAAUGAGUUGUUUUUGAAUCCCAUGAAACUACAAAUAUAUUUUCUUCACUUAAAUUUAAAGAAUUUAAAAACACUGGCUGACAGUGCCUGCGGGCUGUGCUGCCGGCUGUGGGGGUCCGGCACGUCUGCUGGGGGGCUUCCGACCAGUGGAGAGCCUCAGACCCACUCAAAUGUUCUUAACCUGGAAGAGGGAGUGCGUGGAAGAAAAGAUAGAUAGAAAGUGGGGUCUGGAGGACUGCCAGGCAAUGCCGGAGCAACAAGUGCCAAAGCAGCAAGUUUGUUUGUGCACACCACAGGUUAUAUACCUUUCAGUGCUUGAGGAGUGACGUACAUUCCAUUGUAUCUUGAAAUAAAAUCAAGAACAUAAAUCACAAGAAAAAGGGGUACAGAAAGUAUGACUCUUAUUCAUAGGGUGUACAGCAAAGGGACAAUAAAGUUUGCAAAAGGGGGUCAUAAAUCUAAACAUAUGUUUAUCUAAAAUCAGUCAAGCAAGUAAGAUCGUUAACAAGGUACAGCUGGACCUUUCCAAAUGUCAUUCUAACCUUGCCUAUUCAUAUAGGAUCAUAUGCAAACAAUAUGAUUGAGUUAGCAGUGGUAAACAAAGUCAUACAGUUAUUGUGCAGAGAAGGAACUAGGAGGCACACAAUGUCUAACCAUACAAUGUCUCGUUAGACCACAAGGCCUGAGCUCAGCCAUCCUGUUGCAAAUGUCAGAGGCAAAGAUUGAUGUUUAUAAAAUCAGUGCAACCAGACUUCCUCUUUUCCUUUAGCUCAACAGCCUCCAGGAGAGGAGAAACGUGUAUGGGCUCAAGCUCAAGAUGGUGAGGGUCCUGUCAAGGGCCCUUUGCAGGAGCGAUCCCCAGAGCUGGCUAAGGUGCUGGGGUGCUGGGGGUGGGGCGAGGACCAGUGUAGCCUCUGGGCCUUGUUGUGCCCUGGCGCCACCCAGACAUUGCUCAGGCCGCUUGUACCAUGAAGAUCUGGACUUGAGAGCACAUCUUCAACAACUCGUGGGAAAUUGCUACAACAGCUGCAAUGCAGAAAUAACCAAACCCUAUGGACCCAAGCGUGGUUGGAGUUGAUGUGUUGGACAGACAUAUAGAUCCCUCUGGAAAAUUGCACAGCCACAGACUUCUCAGUACACGGUAGGGACUGCCUUUCAUUGUGAAGCCUUUUAUUCUUAGUGGUGCAGCAAGAACGAAACAUAUGUGCACGAAUAUUCUGUAGUUGAUCCUGUAGAGAAAACAAUGGAACUUAACUCUACUAAUAUUUCAUUUACAAAUAUGGUUUCAGUAUAUGAAACUUAUACACAAACCAAAUCCUCAGGACCCAGAAAAAACUGUUUUGACUCAAGAAGCCAUAAUCACCAUGAAAGGAGUUAACCUCAGCAGUUACCUUGAAGGUCUGAUGGCAAGUAUGACAUCCGCAAACGCUGGUAAAGGCUGAGAAGCAAUGGAAUGGAUAAUACAUAAAUUAAAUGCCAAGAUUGAAGAACUGACAGCCUCGGGAAGAGGAAGCAUAACAACUCCAGGGGCAGCAGCAGCAUUUGCCGAGAAGUGAUCAUGGAAGUUGGUAGAGACGUGGGGUACCCCAGGUCUCUCCAAGCUGACUACAUAUUUAUGUGUUACUUUAAAAAUACAACUAUAUUUUAGAUAGAUUUUUUUUUGAUAAGUUGGUGUAAGGCUAUGUGACUUGAUCAAAUCAGUUGCAGGGCCUCUAAAUAAAAGAGAUCAUCUUAAAUUAAUAUUGUUUGAAAUUACUAUCUGAUCUUGAGAGUUCCAGUAUUUCUAUGAAAAUUCAACAAGAACUCCUUGGAAAUUGGUAUUGAUAUUGAAUCUCCUUAAGGUAGAAUUUUCAAUCUUUUGAAACGUUGGAACGCCACCUGACUUUGGCCAACCCCAGAACAGAGUAGAGUCACCUCCUAUAGACACUCAUUGCCCUGCUGCUGUACACUUCAACAUCUUGCCAAAGGCAACUCACUUAAAAGGAGAAAUUGUGUAGUUUUAAAAUAUAGUUUGUGUAAAAUAACUUGCUCUGCUAUAAGCCACCAUUAAAAACCAGUGUUUUAAUUUGGUACUUAAAUAUUUUUGGAGUGAAAAUUAUCACUAAAGUAACCUGACUUGAACAAAAGUACGGUUUCAUUAUAUUAAAGAGUACUGUAUUGAUUUGUCAAAGGUUUGUAACUUAGUAAAGGUAUUCACUUUCUUAGGUUUGUACUUUGUGAUUUAGUAUGCUGUACCGUGGGCUGGUUACGUUAACUGAAAAAAAUAAAGUCAUUACCUGAGUUUUGCAGUGCUCUAACUUAAACAGAAGAACAGCUGUUCACAUUUUUUAGCAUUUCAUAUUUGCCUAACUUAAAAAUUGCCAUGUGUCAAAAUCAUGUUUUGGUAAUUGCUAAGGCAUGAUAUGUCAGGUUAUUUGAAUAUAAUUACUUUUUGAAGUAAUUGUGACCACAAAACAUCUUUUUCUACAUGAAGGAGCUGUGCAUCAUUUGAAAUUACUCAAAUGAUGUCUUACUCUGAAGCAUAACCCCCAGGUACUUAAAGUUUUUAAUAAUAUGGUGCCACUUCAGGAUUUGGGGGCAGUGAGGAAGAACAAGGAUAAUGGUGAGGGGAGGCUUGGUCUGAGGCUGAGUGAAUUGCACUGCAGCUUUUGUCUACGGGAAUUCCUUAUUUGGUAUGUCAGAGGGCAGUGGCAAGCUGAAAAACAAUCCAGUAAAUGUACUUUGUUUUAUAUUUUGUAGCAGGCAAUUAUCAACCACUAAAUAAUAGCUUUGACAUUUGCAGUUGUUGCACAGAGAGUAUUUUUGCUAGAAGAUGAUUAGCUCUUGCCUUUAUUUUACAGUGUUUAGUGUGAUAAGCUUCUGCCUAUCAAAGAGGCCAGUUAAUACAUAAACCACAGAAACAGUAUAACAAACUAUUUUUAAAUUAUCAUUUUCCUGCUUAAAAAUUGUUUAGCUUAAAACUUGUUAAGACAUUUGCAAAAGCAGGUUAAAUUUAAUUAAGGUUUGCGAUUUUUUUUUUUUUUGUAACUGGAGAUAGUUUUUACAAGUGAAAUAGCAUUUCAGCUAAAUAAAACAUUGCUAAAUAAUUUCUGCAAAUUAUACUUGUUCUGAGAAAGGUGUAAUGCCCUAAUAAUAAGAGAUUUUUAAACAAAUCCUUAUCCUUUUUUUUUUUUUUUUUUUGGUAGAGCCUCGCUCUGUUCCCAGUCUGGAGUACAGUGGCACAAUCCCAGCUCACUCCAACUUCCAUUUUCUGCUUUCAAGCAAUUCUCCUGCCUAGCCUCCCAAGUAGCUGGGAUUACAGGCACGCACCACCACUCCCGGCUAAUUUUUUUUUGUAUUUUUAGUAGAGACGGUGUUUCACCAUGUUGGACAGGAUGGUCUCGAUCUCCUGACCUCGUGAUCCACCCGCCUCGGCCUCCCAAAGUGCUGGGAUUACAGGCUUACGCCAAUGCGCCCGGCCUAUCCCUUGAUUUUUUUAAACUCUGAUCUAAUGAUAAAACUAUAAAUUUUCAUUUUCUAGUGCAGUUAGUUGCCUUUUUUGAAAUAGCUGGUAAUUUAUAGCUCUUACCUGUUAAACAUAAAUGCACAGCAAGCAAAUGAACUUAAGAGGACUAAACUGGAGUAAGUGUUCAUAAAUGAAACCUUGGGGUAUUGAAUACUAAAAUUGAAAUGUGGAUUAAGAAAAAAAAGAAUUUAAAAACACUGGAAAUGAAGGCGACAGCAAAACCAGCAUUGAAUAAAGCUGAUUAAGACUUGAUAUGGCAUUGAGAGAACAAUAUAAUUGAUGCAGCAUUAUAUGUUUUUGGAAAAAUACCUUGCAAAUGAAAAUGGAUCCCCACUGCUCUUAGGAUAAAUUCCAGGGUAUUGUUAACAGGUCAUCAGAAGCCCUUUGUGGUACCUCUGAAAGGGAGCCCAAGAAAACUUGUUGUCUCUCCACUGGUAGAUCCCCUCCCCAGCCUGAACUUCUAUCUUUAUGUUUUUGCAUAUGCUGUUCCCUCAGUGGGGGCCAACUUAUCCCAUAGCUCCCUGGAUACCCACUUUUCCAGGUUAUCUCCUACUCAUUCUUCAGGGCUUGGCUUAGAUAAUCCUUAAUUCCAAGCUGUAUGCAAUGGUCAUUCUCCAUGCUCCUCAGCAGCCUGUACUUCCCUAUCACAACUCUCAUCAUACUGAGUUGUGAUAUGCUGCCUGGCCUGUCUCUCCCUCUAGUCUGUAAGUAAAGUUCAGAGCAAGGCUGGGUCUUAUUCUCCUUUGUAUUCUUGUCAUUGCUUGGCAUUUAUUAGGAGCCUGAUAAAUGCUUGUUGAAUGCACAAAAGCAUGAACGGAUUUUGAAUUUUUAAAAGGGCAUUCAUAAUGAAAUAUGCCCAUCCAAAUCUAAAAAUAAGCAUAUAGCUAGGUUUUAACAGAAAUGAGGCCAGGUUUGAGAGAAAUGUAACUGUUGGUCAAAAGCUAGACCAAUUCAGUUAUGAGCACUUUUUUUUCAUAUACAAAGGCACUGGAAAUGAAAGAAAGAUGAUUAAUGUAUAGCUUAGACCCUCAACAGUUUUCUAAUAUAGAUAGACAUGUCAAGAAAAGAAUUAGCUUACCAAAAGACUGUGCUUUUUCGACCAACAAAAACAAUUUACUGGAUGAUUCAUCUUAAAGCUAACUCUUGUUUAGCCAGAAAAAGGGAACUCAAAAUGUAUAUUUUUUUCAUGAACUAACGAUAGAUUACUUUUAUCUAUAGAUCUGUGUGUUUCUUAAUCAGUAUCAUUAAGUUUUAAUCUUAGCCAUUUUCAGGUUUAAUAUUAAAAGUUCUUUGUAUCAUCUCUGGCUGUCUGUAGUUGUGUAUAAGUUUUCUGCUGACUUACUGCUUUUUAAAAUCCGUGCUCACCAUCUUGAACCCCUUUUGGAAAAAACCUAUGUUUGAGAUGGAUGAAGAAUCCUGGAGUUUAGAUAGUGCAUUUCCUUUUUGCAAAAUGUAUAACUCUGAAAAAACUAAAUUACAGUUAUUGGAUAUUAAACAGCUAUUCCUGAAAUUUACUUGGAAGCUUUUGACAGAGUAGCUCAGUAUCUGAGAAGUUGUUUUUCAUGGUCCAAGGAAUUAGGAAGUUCCAUAACAUGUGCCAAGGGAUCUGGCAAUUUCUACUACCUUUAGUUGCUUUAUCUGAGAUAUCACAGGUCAUGGUCUAGAUGCAAAAAUAUCUUUUUAUUUCAAUAAUACAUCAGAACAUAAUUUUAAAUGUACUAGAGAGAAACUUUAAAUUAAAAUUCAAAUGUGUGUGAUAUUAGCAGUGCAAAUAUCACCACCAAGGAAGCAAGCAGAUGAGCCAGUGCCUCCUGUGCAGUGUCGAGUUUGCCUGUGCAGAAAAUCACCUCGGUGUAUUGUGGUGUAGUACACCUGGGAGCUGGCAAGUGUGUUUGGCAUACAUUGUAAUCCACUUCCUGAUUUUAGAAGUGUUAUGCUGUGCAAAAAGUGCAAUUAGAAUUGGAGAUAUUUGACAAAAGACAGUGUGAAUAAAUAGUGUAAUAAUAGUUAUAUAAAGUACUAUAGGAGUGCAGAAGAAGGAACCAUAAUUUUAACCAGGAAGACUAAGGAAGGCCACAGUGGAAGUUGAUAUUUGAGCCAGAAAUCCGUAGGGAAAGAAGGAAAGAAAACUUGUUUUGGGCUUCCGGCUAAUGCACAGUGGCAUCAUAGUGCAUGGUAUGUUGAGAGCACUGCAUUAGGCUUGAAGCUGGAGCCCAGAUGGGUGGAAGGUACUUUAGCAGAUGGUGCUGGGAAGAUAAGACCCCGGUCAUGGUGAGUCUGCUGAGGAGGCUGGACUUUAUUCUGCAGGCAGUGGAAGGCCACUGAAGAUUUGGGGACAGAGGUGAGGUAGGGCUGACUUACCUACUAGACACAGUGUGUAGGAAGCACAAUCAUUUUAGGGUCGACAAAAAUAUUUACAUUUUAAUUGCCUUUAAAGCCAGAAUAAAAUAAAUAAGCACAACAAUAAUGAAUUCAUCUUUAUUCAAAUGCAGUCAUUAUAAUAUAUGGGUUUUUUUUUACCCCUAUUAAUAGAGGAAUAGGUCCAUGAAGGUAAAAAUGCCUACGGCCUACAAAAGUCAUACUGGAGCCCCAGGGAAAAGAGGGCAAAAUGUGAAUCCUGGAGAUAAUUGACAGCUGUGUAAGGAUGAAUCCCACCUGUGGUUCCCAACUGUGUCCUGGCUACAUCAGAUUUACUUGAUUAAACACAGAUUCCCUACUAUGCAGCCAUUAAAAGGAACCAGAUCAUGUUGUUUGCAGAGACAUGGAUGGAGCUGGAAGCUGUUAUUCUCAGCACACUAAUGCAGCAACAGAAAACCAAACACCACAUGUUCUCAGUUAUAAGUGGGAGCUGAAGAUGAAAACACAUGGACACAUGGCAGAGAACAACACACACUGGGGCUUGUCAGGGUGUCAGGUGGGGUAGGGGGAAGGAGAGCAUCAGGAAGAAUAGCUAAUGGAUAAUGGCCUAACACCUAGGUGAUGGGUUGAUCUGUGCAGCAAACCAUCGUGGCACACGUUUACCUAUGUAACAAACCUGUACAUCCUGCACAUGUACCCCAGAACUUAAAAGUUGAAGGAAAAAAAACACAGAUUCCAGGGCCCCAGGCAGGCAUGCUUGAUUUAGGAGGAAGGGGAGGGGUAUGCUAGAAGACAGAGCUGGCCUGUGGAGGACCAGGAAAACAAUCGAAUGGCAGUUUAGCUGAUGACUGAGAAACCACAAAGGCCCUAGCCAGGGCAGUGCCAGUGAGACUGGGAAAAAAAGGGAGCCUGGGGAAGCAUCACACAGGUGAAUGACAGACUGACAACCAACCAGUGGUAGGGUGUGAGGUACAGGAGAUGCCUGGAUGGCAGCAGGAGAAGAGGUAGUAUUUCUAGUCUCAGCCAGAAGUGGAAAAUGUGACCAACUGUUUUUCUCUGCUGCAAGCUCACCAUGAACACCUCAGCCUGUGGAAGGGCUGAGGAUACUGUCAGCUUGGCACAAGCUUUCACCAGGCUUUCAGCAUUUUGGUAGACUGCCCAUUAGGCUGUGCAGAUGCCCAGGGGAGUGCUGUGGAGGGGUGAGAGGCAGGAGCAGUCCCUGUGUUUGCCUUGAGGAGGAGUAAGAUAAUGGGCAGAAAUGCUAGAACUGAAGCUCUGUGGCUCUGGGCUGAGUUCAGGCCUGAGGCCCGAGGCCAGGAUGGUGUUGGUGUCGGGUGGCCCCUUCUCAGUGGGAGAGCCCUAGGCCCUGGUUACUUGCUUGCUUGCUGAUGGAGACACAGGAAGAAUAAUCAAACACCUGAGAAACUUGGAAGAUGAUUAUUGAAACUAGAAUUUUUUUUUUCUUCAGAAUUCUCUGAAAAA
Molecule: non-coding RNA, 14237 nt
Organism: Callithrix jacchus (white-tufted-ear marmoset)
Lineage: Eukaryota; Metazoa; Chordata; Mammalia; Primates; Cebidae
Source: RefSeq, a predicted model, not a curated record